GUCAGGAUGGCCGAGCGGUCUAAGGCGCUGCGUUAAGGUCGCAGUCUCCUCUGGAGGCGUGGGUUAAAAUCCCACUUCUGACA
RNAcentral lists this transfer RNA (83 nucleotides) under Ameiurus melas (black bullhead). It matches the Rfam family "tRNA". Rfam says of the family: Transfer RNA (tRNA) molecules are approximately 80 nucleotides in length. Their secondary structure includes four short double-helical elements and three loops (D, anti-codon, and T loops). The record is from Rfam by way of RNAcentral. Lineage: Eukaryota; Metazoa; Chordata; Actinopteri; Siluriformes; Ictaluridae.